This 1837-nucleotide ribosomal RNA is filed under the name Triticum aestivum (bread wheat). RNAcentral describes it as "partial small subunit ribosomal RNA". Lineage: Eukaryota; Viridiplantae; Streptophyta; Magnoliopsida; Poales; Poaceae. The record is from RNAcentral.
GCAGGCGGUCCAGCCUGGGAUGGAGAGUCAGGACCAAUCCUCUCCCCGAAACCUAGCGCACUCGGCCAAUCCUCUCCGUCCUUCGAGCCCUCUUCUUCUCUUUCCGCGCCGUCUCGUCUUCCCUGCUCUCGCACCGCCGCCUUCUCUCCCGGCGCUCAAGGUGCAACAACAAGGGCACGUUCUCCAUCCAGCCGGAGCCGGGUAGGGUGCAGGUCGCCGGCAUCAUGCACCGUGUCCCAUGAUUCUGGAUCUGGCGCAUAUCUUCGUCAGGAGACUAGGAGCAGCAGUGAGGGCAGCAGAGGAACCCAUCCUGAACGAGCCCGCUCCGGCGUUUGCCCGCAAAGGAGAGGGCGAGGAUGGUUCCCAGUUCGUGGAGGAGACGAACGGGCACAUGGCAAGCAUGUAUUCAUGGUGCUUGCGGAGGAGCAGGGCUGCUAAGGAAAAGUGGUGGUGGGGGAGGAGGACGCCCUUGUCCUUGAUGUUCGGGCAGCCAUGGCUGACGCCAGAGCCGUUGGCUGGCCUUGAAAUUGUCCGUUGUCGGCGUCCUCGUCAUCCAACCACCAGAAAUUUGGUGGCACUGGAUCCUGCGGGAGGAGGUCCCUGAGGCAUUUGAUUCUUGUGGGAUUCCCACACAUCUUGUUGGAUCAGCAACAAGUGGCUGGGCCUCUACAUUAUUCAUAAAAUCUAUUUUUAUCUUUCAUUUAUUUGUCUAAUUUCUGUGCCCGUGUCCUCGCCUCUGUUCGGCUCUUGUUGAAGUUCCAAUGAAUUUCUGUGCUACCUAAGAAGUACUAAUGCUCAUAUAUUACAAUUUGCUAUCCACAGCUUUCAGUCACGGGAUCUUGAGAAAAGUAGUUUAGGCAUUUUGCUUGUGUCAACUAUAUGAAAUCUGCAAAGUCUUUUUUGUGUGCAGAAAAUUUCACACUCUGCAUUACUUGCAAAAGAUGCUGAUUUUGAUCUUAACAAUUAUAGUUGUUGUUCAAGCAGUAGAAGAUCUGGCAACCUCACGGCCAUCUCAUUCGAAAUUGAAGUCCUAUCCUUAAAGUUUAGCUAAGUGUAUUAUUUAUUUUCUGGUUUAAAUUAUUUUCCUCAUGUGACACAAAAGGCUUGAAGCCUUCUUUUAACUCGCACUUCUAUGCUAACCAAAUUUAUUUCUGGCUGUCAGAAGAGUUCGGAGCGAAGCUGGCCAGCAUCUUCGCAUGUGACACAAAAAUUGUUGUUCAAGCACACAACUGCUGUAUUUCGUAAAUUGUGACGUGUUCAUAUGAUUUUUUACUGAAGGUGCUUGUCAAUUAUAGGUGAAAAACUUGGCAUGGAGGCGCAUAGGAUUGCUGCUUCUGUUUUUGGAUUGGCCCUUGCGAGGGAGACCGAAGCAAACUCCAGCAGGUUUCAGGGAUAAUACAACCAAUCCAACUACUACCUUUGGUGUGCUUUUUGGAUGGACUAAUCUGAAGAUGCUGACUAGCUUGCACCACCAUCAUAUAGUCACGAAGCAAGGGCAAGGAUUAUAGGGAAAAUAAAGGCAAUUCACCAUCCGGAGGAAAUGCCAACUAAUACAUUUUUGUACUUCCUCUAUUACUAUUGUCUGUUUGAACUCUUGUAGUACGGCUCGGACUUUCAAAGUUAUUAGGCCUGUGGACAUGUUUUUAUUUUAGUUUGUACAGUUUUGUGUUCUUUUGGCUUCAGGUUGGUGCUGCACAGAAAGUGCAGUACACUCAGGUGAUGCAUGAAACAAACUGCAGACCUAGCAUAGUUUUUGUAUUUGGAUUUUGUAACUAAGGUGAUGCUUUUAUGUUAAAAUGCUUGUUUGUUCUCUAAGUAAGCUGACAACGGGUGCUAG